RNAcentral lists this ribosomal RNA (173 nucleotides) under Nitrospiraceae bacterium. RNAcentral's name for it is "partial 23S ribosomal RNA". It matches the Rfam family "Bacterial large subunit ribosomal RNA", at positions 2754 to 2925 of the family's 2925-position model. The record is from RNAcentral. Lineage: Bacteria; Pseudomonadati; Nitrospirota; Nitrospiria; Nitrospirales; Nitrospiraceae.
UGCGGAAGGGAUAAGCGCUGAAAGCAUAUAAGCGCGAAGCUCUUUCCAAGAUGAGGUCUCCCACAGGGUCAACCUGGUAAGGCCCGUGGCAGACCACCACGUUGAUAGGCCGGAAGUGUACGUGCGGUAACGCAUUCAGCUGACCGGUACUAAUCGGCCGAGGGCUUGGAGAC